This 167-nucleotide ribosomal RNA is filed under the name uncultured Actinomycetes bacterium. Its description in RNAcentral is "uncultured actinobacterium partial 16S ribosomal RNA". It matches the Rfam family "Bacterial small subunit ribosomal RNA", at positions 1164 to 1330 of the family's 1533-position model. Lineage: Bacteria; Bacillati; Actinomycetota; Actinomycetes. The record is from RNAcentral.
CGGAGGAAGGUGGGGACGACGUCAAAUCAUCAUGCCCCUUAUGUCUUGGGCUUCACGCAUGCUACAAUGGCCGGUACAAAGGGUUGCGAUACCGCAAGGUGGAGCGAAUCCCAAAAAGCCGGUCUCAGUUCGGAUUGGGGUCUGCAACUCGACCCCAUGAAGUCGGA